Molecule: ribosomal RNA, 305 nt
Filed under: uncultured bacterium
Lineage: Bacteria
Description: bacterial SSU rRNA
Rfam family: Bacterial small subunit ribosomal RNA
Source: RNAcentral
UCCUACGGGGGGCAGCAGUAGGGAGUUUUCGUCAAUGGGCGCAAGCCUGAACGAGCAAUGCCGCGUGAACGAGGAAGGUCUUCGGAUCGUAAUGUUCUGUUGAAGGGGAAAAAGAGCGGAGAGAGGAAAUGGUCUCCGAUUGAUAUUACCCUUCGAGGAAGUCACGGCUAACUACGUGCCAGCAGCCGCGGUAAUACGUAGGUGGCGAGCGUUAUCCGGAAUGAUUGGGCGUAAAGGGUGCGUAGGCGGCCUGCUAAGUCUGGAGUGAAAGGUACCGGCUCAACCGGUACAGGCUCUGGAAACUG